ACCCGCACAAGCGGUGGAUGAUGUGGUUUAAUUCGAUGCAACGCGAAAACCUUACCCACCUUUGACAUGUACGGAACCCUUUAGAGAUAGAGGGGUGCUCGAAAGAGAGCCGUAACACAGGUGCUGCAUGGCUGUCGUCAGCUCGCGUCGUGAGAUGUUGGGUUAAGUCCCGCAACGAGCGCAACCCUUGUCAUUAGUUGCUACAUUCAGUUGGGCACUCUAAUGAGACUGCCGGUGACAAGCCGGAGGAAGGUGGGGAUGACGUCAAGUCCUCAUGGCCCUUAUAGGUGGGGCUACACACGUCAUACAAUGGCUGGUACAAAGGGUUGCCAACCCGCGAGGGGGAGCCAAUCCCAUAAAGCCAGUCGUAGUCCGGAUCGUAGUCUGCAACUCGACUACGUGAAGUCGGAAUCGCUAGUAAUCGUGGAUCAGAAUGUCACGGUGAAUACGUUCCCGGGUCUU
Molecule: ribosomal RNA, 462 nt
Filed under: uncultured Rhodoferax sp.
Lineage: Bacteria; Pseudomonadati; Pseudomonadota; Betaproteobacteria; Burkholderiales; Comamonadaceae
Description: bacterial SSU rRNA
Rfam family: Bacterial small subunit ribosomal RNA
Source: RNAcentral